UCUCCAGCUUCCCCAAGCUGGCUCAGGCCGAGGGAACAGAGGACGCUUGGGGACAGGAGGAGCUGCAGAAGCAGAACUGAGACUCAGAGACCAUGGAGGGGGUGGAGGCUGAGUCUUCCUGGGCUGAGCAGGGGGAACUCCAGCCCCCAAUUGCCCAAAUGAGCUUCAGGAAAGGCUCUGGGCCUUACUCAGCUUCCCCACCGCCGCUCCCCCUCGGACAGGCCCCGUGCUGGAUGCAUUAGAAGACAGACUUCAGCUCCAAGCCAGCAGCCGGCAACACUGAAUAUUCAUGCCUCGACUUCCACGCUUUUCAAUUAAACACAAUAAAGUAAAUUCCCGUCAAAA
RNAcentral lists this long non-coding RNA (345 nucleotides) under Cercocebus atys (sooty mangabey). RNAcentral's name for it is "lncRNA (ENSCATG00000045834.1)". Lineage: Eukaryota; Metazoa; Chordata; Mammalia; Primates; Cercopithecidae. The record is from RNAcentral.